RNAcentral lists this small RNA (574 nucleotides) under Pan troglodytes (chimpanzee). Its description in RNAcentral is "processed transcript". The record is from RNAcentral. Lineage: Eukaryota; Metazoa; Chordata; Mammalia; Primates; Hominidae.
GGAUUUAAUUAUUCCUCUCAGCUUUGGAAUCUUUUACUUCUCACUUGGACAAGAACUCAAGAGCAGAAUCUCCGUGUUGCAAUCUGGUUCCUAAGGAGGAAGAGGAAGGCAGCCCUGGAGUGGUUUCUUUACAGUAAUUUCAACAGAAGAGUGAGAGAUGGAACCCGAAGAAGAAAGGAUUCGUUACAGCCAGAGAUUGCGUGGUACCAUGCGACGACGCUAUGAAGAUGAUGGCAUUUCAGAUGAUGAAAUUGAAGGAAAAAGAACUUUUGACUUGGAAGAGAAACUGCACACCAACAAAUAUAAUGCCAAUUUUGUUACUUUUAUGGAAGGAAAAGGUCAGUAUUGUUUUGGUUCCAGCAUACAGUCCUUUGAUGUGGGAAGCCAUAGACUCUGAGCAUUGGGGGUUUAGCCUUUAUCCAGCUAAAAUAUUGCCUGUUGAUGUUAUCUAUCUAUUUUCUCUUGUUAUACAAUGCCAUUUGCAUGCACUUAUCCCCCAGUCCUCCCACCCUGUGAGUCAUUCUCUCCUAUAUUAGAAGUAAUCUUUUUAUUAGGGCAGGAGUAUUGUUGGAUU